RNAcentral lists this ribosomal RNA (252 nucleotides) under uncultured bacterium. RNAcentral describes it as "partial 16S ribosomal RNA". It matches the Rfam family "Bacterial small subunit ribosomal RNA", at positions 524 to 776 of the family's 1533-position model. The record is from RNAcentral.
UACGGAGGAUGCGAGCGUUAUCCGGAUUUAUUGGGUUUAAAGGGUGCGCAGGCGGUCUGUUAAGUCAGCGGUAAAAUUGCGGGGCUCAACCCCGUCGAGCCGUUGAAACUGGCAGACUUGAGUUGGCGAGAAGUACGCGGAAUGCGCGGUGUAGCGGUGAAAUGCAUAGAUAUCGCGCAGAACUCCGAUUGCGAAGGCAGCGUACCGGCGCCACACUGACGCUGAGGCACGAAAGCGUGGGGAUCGAACAGG